This 294-nucleotide ribosomal RNA is filed under the name uncultured eukaryote. Its description in RNAcentral is "partial 18S ribosomal RNA". It matches the Rfam family "Eukaryotic small subunit ribosomal RNA", at positions 1470 to 1796 of the family's 1831-position model. The record is from RNAcentral.
CCCUUUGAUACUCUGGGCGGUACGCGCGCUACACUGGUUUAUAUAACGUGUAAUUUGGACGAUAGUCUGUAUAAAUCACUAAUAUAAAACCGUGAAUGGGAUAGUUUAUUGCAACUUACAAACUUUAACUAGGAAUCCCUUGUAGAAGUAGUGAAUUAUACUGCUUCGAAUACGUCCCUGCCGAUUGUACACACCGCCCGUCGUUUCUUCCGACUGGUACUCAUUGUGAAUUGCGAGGAGAUUCUGUCAAAUCGUUGUAAAUGCUGGAUAUUGGAGGAAGAAAAAGUCGUAACA